GGGCGCAUAACUCAGUUCGGUUAGAGUGCCAUCUUCACACGGUGGAAGUCGCUGGUUCAAAUCCAGCUGUGCCCA
Molecule: transfer RNA, 75 nt
Filed under: Gammaproteobacteria bacterium
Lineage: Bacteria; Pseudomonadati; Pseudomonadota; Gammaproteobacteria
Also listed under: 1 other name
Description: tRNA-Val
Rfam family: tRNA
About the family: Transfer RNA (tRNA) molecules are approximately 80 nucleotides in length. Their secondary structure includes four short double-helical elements and three loops (D, anti-codon, and T loops).
Source: RNAcentral